AGUCAACACAACACAGCACAGCACAGCACAACUACAAAAUGAGAACUUUCUUGGGACUCUUCGCUGUUCUCUUCAUGGCCGUGUGCCUGACGCCCUACUCCGACGCAUGCUGUUGUCAUCACGGCAGUCACCACAGCCACCACAGCAGGCACGGCAUCCCCAUCCCCAUCCCCUACCCCAUGGGCGGCAGCAGCGGCGGCAGCCACUCCGCCAACAUCCCCCUCAUCAUCACAACAACGGGAAAAUAGAAACAUAGAACGCGUUCAACGUCGUUGACGUUGACGUUGACGUCGCGCGACGUCUUCAUAUUGGUUCCAGUCUUUGUCCUCACCCUCCUAUCGCUGUCUAUCUAGCUUCGGCUGAUGUCAAUGCAUUUUGAUGAAUAAAAUCUUGCA
Molecule: long non-coding RNA, 395 nt
Organism: Haliotis rufescens (red abalone)
Lineage: Eukaryota; Metazoa; Mollusca; Gastropoda; Lepetellida; Haliotidae
Exons: 3
Source: RefSeq, a predicted model, not a curated record